AAGUAAGUAGCGUAUAUAGCGUGUGCGAUUUCGGCUCGCGCGGAGGGAGUCCCCCUUACUUU
RNAcentral lists this transfer RNA (62 nucleotides) under Raeta sp. Its description in RNAcentral is "tRNA-Arg". Lineage: Eukaryota; Metazoa; Mollusca; Bivalvia; Venerida; Anatinellidae. The record is from RNAcentral.